Molecule: ribosomal RNA, 497 nt
Filed under: uncultured bacterium
Lineage: Bacteria
Description: partial 16S ribosomal RNA
Rfam family: Bacterial small subunit ribosomal RNA
Source: RNAcentral
GAUGAACGCUGGCGGCGUGCCUAAUACAUGCAAGUCGAGCGAACAGACGAGGAGCUUGCUCCUCUGACGUUAGCGGAGGACGGGUGAGUAACACGUGGAUAACCUACCUAUAAGACUGGGAUAACUUCGGGAAACCGGAGCUAAUACCGGAUAAUAUAUUGAACCGCAGGGGGCAAUAGUGAAAGACGGUUUUGCGGUCUCGUAUAGAUGGAUCCGCGCCGCAUUAGCUAGUUGGUAAGGUAACGGCUUACCAAGGCAACGAUGCGUAGCCGACCUGAGGGGCUGAUCGGCCACACUGGAACUGAGACACGGUCCAGACUCCUACGGGAGGCAGCAGUCGGGAAUCUUCCGCAACGGGCGAAAGCCUGACGGAGCAACGCCGCGUGAGUGAUGAAGGUCUUCGGAUCGUAAAACUCUGUUAUUAGGGAAGAACAAAUGUGUAAGUAACUAUGCACGUCUUGACGGUACCGAAUCAGAAAGCCCCGGCUAACUACGUG